RNAcentral lists this ribosomal RNA (474 nucleotides) under uncultured bacterium. RNAcentral's name for it is "bacterial SSU rRNA". It matches the Rfam family "Bacterial small subunit ribosomal RNA", at positions 17 to 518 of the family's 1533-position model. The record is from RNAcentral.
UCCUGGCUCAGGAUGAACGCUGGCGGCGUGCCUAACACAUGCAAGUCGAGCGAUUACUUCGGUAAAGAGCGGCGGACGGGUGAGUAACGCGUGGGUAACCUGCCUCAUACACAUGGAUAACAUACCGAAAGGUAUGCUAAUACAGGAUAAUAUAAGAGAUUCACAUGGAUUUCUCAUCAAAGCUCCGGCGGUAUGAGAUGGACCCGCGUCUGAUUAGCUAGUUGGUAAGGUAAUGGCUUACCAAGGCGACGAUCAGUAGCCGACCUGAGAGGGUGAUCGGCCACAUUGGAACUGAGACACGGUCCAAACUCCUACGGGAGGCAGCAGUGGGGAAUAUUGCACAAUGGGCGAAAGCCUGAUGCCAGCAACGCCGCGUGAGUGAUGAAGGCCUUCGGGUCGUAAAACUCUGUCCUCAAGGAAGAUAAUGACGGUACUUGAGGAGGAAGCCCCGGCUAACUACGUGCCAGCAGCGGC